RNA transcript from Brassica oleracea var. oleracea, 1532 nucleotides. It is a transcript of the gene named MLP-like protein 328, with no coding region annotated. The transcript has 4 exons. Lineage: Eukaryota; Viridiplantae; Streptophyta; Magnoliopsida; Brassicales; Brassicaceae. The record is from RefSeq and is a predicted model, not a curated record.
ACAAGAAACAUUAUAGACCAUCCUUUUAACCGUCACUUCACUAUAUAAACAAGGCGACGGGAAGUGUUAUCUCAUCAACCAAAGACAACAAGAAAACAAAACGAGUGGAAGCCUUAAAACAAAAGAGAGAGAGAAAUGGCGACGUCUGGAACAUAUGUGACGGAGGUUCCUUUAAAAGGAACGGCGGAGAAACACUACAAGAGGUGGAGGAACGAGAACCAUGCUUUCCCUGACGCCGUCGGCCACCACAUCCAAAGUGUCACCGUUCAUGAUGGCGAAUGGGACUCUCAUGGCGCCAUCAAGAUUUGGAACUACACAUUGAAUGGAAAAGCAGGAGGUAUUCAAGGAGAGGAGAGAGAUAGACGAUGAGAAGAAAACGGUGACGUUUAGAGGACUGGAGGGUCAUGUGAUGGAGCAGCUCAAGGUGUAUGAGGCCAACUUCCAAUUCAUUCCCAAAUCUGAGGAUGGCAGCGUCUGCAAAAUCACUUUUAACUGGGAGAAGCGCAACGAUGACUUCCCCGAUCCCAGCAACUACAUGAAAUUCAUCAAGAGCUUGGCUGCUGACAUGGACGACCACGUUAUAAAAGCUUAAUAAUCACCAUGAUUACCGUCAUCAUCAAUAAUAUAAUAAAUGGAGUGUUGUGGCUUUUCAUUUCUAUGUAACCGUUUGUUUUUUGUAAGAUGCUUUGAUAUGUACGUUGUUUGUGGUCAUCAUCCGGUUUGAUGUAAUGAAUGAAUCUACGUUAUAAGCAGCAUCACUCUCCUUAUGCGACAAGUCAUCAUUUUUGUGGGUAGGGUUUCUUCUUCUCUUCCAGAAGCUUCGACGUCACAAGACGCUUCCAAUUUCGGCGAUUCAUUUUGGUUACUCGAUCCUUUGUUCCUGUCUCCAUCCUCCAUCCUCCAUCCUCCAUCCUCCUAUAUGUAAAGGUAGUCUACAGUUUCAUCUCCCUUUCAACUUUUCUUCUCGAGUUUUUCCUUCGUUUGACACUGCAACUGCCGUCACGAAAAUCAGGUAGCGAGCGUGUAAUCACAUCCCGAGGCAUGACUCAGCAAGGAGAAGAUAUAAACUCUGCAACUGAAGGAAGAGUUAGCAGAGACUGAUACGCGAAACACUCUGAGUUAUACAAGGAACUUCAAUCUGUGCGGAGUCUAGGUGUUUCAACUUAGAGGUAUGUAGGAAGUUCUGGUUUGAUAUCUGAAUAUCUCUAUGUGCUCGCAGGUUGAGGUUGCAGAGGUAAGACAAAAGCGUCAUGUUUUUGGCUGACGGUGCCGCCGGAAAAGCACUGACCGUUGGAUAUGAAUGGAAGCCAUUACGGAAGCGAUCAUGGGUUGACGAGGGUGCCUACGACAGUUCCCACUAAUUGACAUUUGGAUUAAAUAUUUUGUGCUGUUGUUAAGUGCAGUUUUGGCGUGUUUACUCUCAUGAUAAUGUUCCAACGCUCUUUUCUCUCUUUGUCAACUCUGUAAAAGUACUUAUGUAAUUACCAGAAAAUUACUCAACAUAAACUCAAAGUUAAAUUUUGAUCUUAACU